RNAcentral lists this long non-coding RNA (1448 nucleotides) under Vulpes vulpes (red fox). Its description in RNAcentral is "lncRNA (ENSVVUG00000007010.1)". Lineage: Eukaryota; Metazoa; Chordata; Mammalia; Carnivora; Canidae. The record is from RNAcentral.
UACUUCUAAAUAACAAAAGGUAAGAAACUCUUGGUCGAGAGCCCAGAAUUUCUCAACAAAUGGCUAAUUUUGCCUCGGUAGGUUCUGUUAUUUGGUUCAAAAGCUUCCAUUUAAGGGUGGAGGGACAAAAAUAUCUAACUGCUAAUAAUUGUCCCUGAGGUUUAUACAGCAGCCAACGAUUUACAGAAUUCUCUUACAGACAUAUCGCAUUUAAAAGACUCCAAACCUCCCAAGUGGGCAGCUGUUCCUUCCGAUCCCGGAGUGUGCUCUGCUGAUGAGAAUUUUUGCAAGUCUCUGUUCCUCUUUGGUGCCGGAGUGGGGCUCGGUCUCCACACCGUGAAGCCAGACUCAGGUGGGAGGUCCCUCACUGCCUUCCCAGAGCUUCUCCUCUGGCGUCCCCAAGGUCAGGAAGCCGUCAUUCUCCUCUGGCUCAUCCAUCAGGCCCACAGAGCCUCUUCGACCAUUGAGACCAGUUGUUUUGCAAGCCUCACUCUUGUGAAGAUCUUGGAUGCUUUCCCUCCUGAGAGUAGAAGAACAGUGUGCAACCCCUCCCACUGCCCACAGCCGGGGGUUCCUUAGCUGCAAAUGGCUCAAAUCCUUCAGAAGAGGCAUGACCAAGAAGCCUUAAAGAUGGCACAGCCCAUCAAAGAGACCACAGGGCAUUCAGAACCAGCCAGAUGCCCACGGACCAGCCGGCAGCAUCACUUAACUCCCAUGGUGUGUCUGGCCUCAACUUCUCCUUCAUUCAUGCCCUCAGUCACGGCAUUCGGGAACCCCUUCUGCUGGUGCCCAAGAGCCCUCUGAGUGCAUCUCUUCCCAGCUCUAUUCAGUGACAUCAUGUCCAUAGUGUGGCCAUGCUGGGAGUGAUUACACCAGAGCAGUUGGCAAGCGCGACCACCCAGGGCUCCUCUCCCCAGAGCUGGUGGCUAACCAUGUUCCUGCCUUGAGGGCAGGUUUCCCACCGUGAAAGGUUAGCACCAUGGCUGCCCCUCCCCCCCCAAAAAAAACAGAUCAGUGGAGGCUCUCCUGUCCUCAAAUGCUCCACAGAAAGUCCCUUCUUUCUACAGAUCUACUAACUCCAUAGUCAACCCUCCAGUGUCUGUCCUAGCUACGUGCCUUUUGGCAAGUCUCUAGGCUUCUUUGGCCUCUGGUCCCUCAUCCAUGAAGCAGAGACAGUACUAUGUAUCCCUUAGACAAAUGGUAUCCAACUGGGCUUUGGCAUGGCCCUGUGGCACUGUAAUACAGGGACCCAUGGACCACGUGGAGCCUCUCGGCGAUGGAGAGCAAAGAUCUUCCUCUUCCUCACCACCCAUUCCUCAUGUGGGGCUCUACCCUAUGGAUGCUGGGUGUAACUCUGGCAGCAGCUCAACGAGGGAGUGACAGUGGGAGUGGCCUGCCCUGCGAGUGGGCAACAAGAGAGCAUCCCCACUGUAGAGAAUUAAAAAAAU